CAGCAGCCGCGGUAAUACGUAGGUCCCGAGCGUUGUCCGGAUUUAUUGGGCGUAAAGGGAGCGCAGGCGGUUUAGUAAGUCUGAAGUUAAAGGCAUUGGCUCAACCAAUGUAUGCUUUGGAAACUGUUAGACUUGAGUGCAGAAGGGGAGAGUGGAAUUCCAUGUGUAGCGGUGAAAUGCGUAGAUAUAUGGAGGAACACCGGUGGCAAAAGCGGCUCUCUGGUCUGUAACUGACGCUGAGGCUCGAAAGCGUGGGGAGCAAACAGGAUUAGAUACCCGGGUAGUCCCUGUCUCUUAUACA
This 301-nucleotide ribosomal RNA is filed under the name uncultured bacterium. RNAcentral's name for it is "partial 16S ribosomal RNA". It matches the Rfam family "Bacterial small subunit ribosomal RNA", at positions 509 to 808 of the family's 1533-position model. The record is from RNAcentral.